UACGUAGGGUGCGAGCGUUAAUCGGAAUUACUGGGCGUAAAGCGUGCGCAGGCGGGCUUUUAAGCCAGACGUGAAAUCCCCGGGCUCAACCUGGGAACUGCAUUUGUGACUGCAUCGCUGGAGUGCGGCAGAGGGGGAUGGAAUUCCGCGUGUAGCAGUGAAAUGCGUAGAUAUGCGGAGGAACACCGAUGGCGAAGGCAAUCCCCUGGGCCUGCACUGACGCUCAUGCACGAAAGCGUGGGGAGCAAACAGG
Molecule: ribosomal RNA, 253 nt
Filed under: uncultured bacterium
Lineage: Bacteria
Description: partial 16S ribosomal RNA
Rfam family: Bacterial small subunit ribosomal RNA
Source: RNAcentral